Long non-coding RNA from Gallus gallus (chicken), 590 nucleotides. Lineage: Eukaryota; Metazoa; Chordata; Aves; Galliformes; Phasianidae. The record is from Ensembl.
CCGGGACCCCGGCUCCCGCCGCGCCUCCCCCUGCCCCCCGAGGCUGCCUCCCGGUUCGGCAGAGGCCGCUCGGCAGGGGCAGGAGGCCCAGCGCCACGAAGGGGGCGGAACCAACCGAGCGGCGGCUGCUCCCCGCGGGCCCCGCUCUCGCUUCUCCUUCGCCGGGAAACGCGGCCCGGCCGCCCCGCGGCUCCCCUCUUCCUGCUCCUCGGCAGAGGCCGGCGGGCACCGAGCGCGGCCCCGAAACGCGCCGGCCCCCCUCAGCCGCAGAGCGAAGCAGAACGGACGAGCGAACGAGCGAGCGAGCAGGAAUUAGAGGAAACCAAAGUGAACAGGUAUUCAUUAGAUCUGAGAAUAAAAUUUCCUCUGACAUAUCAGUGUAAAGUUCAUAAACGGCCCAAGAGGAAAAAAAAAGAAAAACAUAAAUGUCAUCCCUGCCUAUAUAAUGCAAGUCAGGAGGAAGAUACCAAGGGAAAGAAUGAAUUUUUGAAAAGAUCGGAAAGUAGCAAAUGAAGAAUUUAAAAUACUCUUCUUAGGUUUCAACAACUAUAACAACUUCAUUUAGAAAAUCAGUUCCUUUUGCUAAAUGA